Molecule: long non-coding RNA, 6420 nt
Organism: Acanthopagrus latus (yellowfin seabream)
Lineage: Eukaryota; Metazoa; Chordata; Actinopteri; Spariformes; Sparidae
Exons: 4
Source: RefSeq, a predicted model, not a curated record
GCUCAGACGUCGGAUCAGAACGACGCUCUGAAACGUUUCCUCCUCUCUGCUGCUCGUCUCUGCUCCGCUGCACAAGUCUUCCUUUUCUUUUGUUUUCUGGCUCUUGGAUUUCAUUCAUGGAAGUGUUUUACAUGCUGGUCACUGAGCGGUUCUGCUCCGUUUGGACCAGAGCUUCACUGACUGGGGGGUUGUGGACAAUGUGGAGGGAAACUGAGUCGACUGGAAGUGAUUUGGAGACGAUCACGAUGCGACAUCGUGCAUCGACUGACGCUGUGUGGCUGUCGUGUUGUGUUCAGGUGCUGCGGUGGACCGGAUGCUGCCGGGCAGUACCAGGGUUCUGUUUCUCAGAGACACCUGAUGUGUUGUUGGAUCAGUGUGUAGACUUCUGAACCGAUGAUGCUGGUAUCAUUUGUUAAUUUGUUAACGGGUCAGUUUCUGACAGGGGGGUGGAUGAUGUUCAGCCUCAGCUAGCACGCUGACUCUUUUGGUUCCAGAACUCGGGUCGCUGCCUCGGACUUCUGAGCGACACAGAGCUCAGUGAGAUGAGAGAACAAUGAGUCAGACGGGUGAUGGUGGGUUAAAAUGGGGGAUACGUCUUGGUUUGCAGAGUUGACUGACGCUGUCGUGCUGAUUGUUAUUUCACUGCUGUGAAAACGUCCUGCUGCUGGCUGAACGACACAAUCUGAGAUCCAAACGUGGACCGAACAGAACGAUCCGAAGCACCGGACAGAACCACGAGGUCGAGGCCCAAGAGCUGAUUGACAGGACUUUUAAACCCGAGUGAUUCUUCUUUUUGCAGGCUUGGUAGUUCACAUCAGGUUUGUCAUUAACAUGAAUAUCGGAAACACCUGCCAGUCUGAUGCGAGUGAUUCUCUCUUUAUUAACAAACACUUUAAUGAAGGAAUCUGUAAUCCAUCCGUCUGUCGCGUUGACUUCCAGAGACUGAAUCUCUAAAACAAACCUCGUCUGUGAACAUUAGCGCCUGACGCUCGUCAGACAACAACUCCCAUGAUCCCACGCUGCUCGCGUCUUUUGUUCUGUUGUGUUUGAGACCCCUGGUGGCAGAAAUGACAAACUGCGUGUUUAACGACCGAGACGUGUCGGCCUGUCGUGUGUUUGUUGCAGACUUAACAUUCAGUAUCUUCGGCUGUUUGUUCGUCUCGGCUGCAGACGAGCUCGUGUUCCUGCAGGAGAUUCAGACCUGCUGAAUGAAACGUGUCUGAGCUGUGUUGAGUUACAGGGACGUGAUUUAUAAUUCUGUAAUCUGUCAGGUUCACUUUGGUGAAGGCAAAGAUCCUGAUUUCAUUCGUUUGUGAAACACUGGUGAAGUUUAAUCUGAAGGAUUCACGACCAGGGAAACAAAUCCUCUGUUUCAAACUCGUGCUCGUACAUUUUGUGCCACUCUGACUCACUUGUUGAUCAGCCGAGUGCCGUCUGGACACGUUGACAUCCAGAUACGUGACUGCAGCACACGACAAGUAACGAAUGAGUCUUUUAGAUUUAGUAAACCAGUUCUGUGUACGUAUUAAUUUAACAAAUCCUAAAGGCAACACUUCAAAAAACACUGUCACGUAGUUUUGGAGAAGAAAUUAAAUAUUUACAAACUCAGAAACAUGUAUUUUCUCCAUCAGUGAGUCAACGAGCAGCUCUCAGAGGAGAAUAACAUCUCAGAACACUGUUCGAAACUAGAGAAGGUGGCAGGGUCCGCCACGUGAAAACAAAUUAAAACUCCUUUAAGGUCGGUUUCACGGAGAGUUUGAUUAUUUAGUUUGUUUCAGCCAUCUUUCUUCAUCAGAACUACAGAAUGCUCCUUUUAAAAAAACCUUCCAGUGUGUUUGUCAAAGAUUUUUCUGACAUCAGUAGAUAAAAACCAACGUGUACAGAGAGAUCAGGUAACAGCAGAACACCUGGAGAUGUUUCUCCUCCUGCAGCUGCAACAACAUGAUCAUUUUCAUAUUGAUUAAUCAGCCAGAAAUAUUCUUAUUAAUUAUAGUUUUAUCAGUUAUAUUCCUGAUUAACUGUUCAGUCUGUUAAACAGGUGAAAAACCCACAAAGUGACCAAAAGUCUGUCAGUUUAUUGUAGCUGGAUGUCUGAACUCUGAUCUCAUCAUCACAGAAGUUACUGAUCAGUUAUUGAUCCAUUACUGAUCUCAGAGACGUGGAAAUCAAAGCAUGUAGUUUAGUCAUUUAACGUACUUUAUUAAAGUAUUUCCUUUUUGUUCCUCAAAUCUUCUGCUAGAUAUCUGCAGAAUGUGACACAUGUUUACAGGUUUAACUAUCAGCUGGAGGUCAAAUUAAAAAGAGGAGAAAUUCUGCAGAGUUUUACUUCUAACAAUGUUAAAAUAAAUCCAGAACUUUAAGUUGAGAAGUUGUGAUUUUCACACUGAACUCUGCUGCUUCCAGUUUGAUUCUGGAGGAGAUGCAGCUGAAGCUUGAAGUCAUCUUGUUGUUUAGUCUUCGUGGUGAUGAUGAAGUUGUAGUCACAGUUUUAUUCAUGAUUCAGGUUCAUUCUCAGCCUAUAAUCUCCUGCAGCAGCUCAUUAGAUCCUGCGUCACAAACCCAGAACAUUUUUCACAUAACGUUCAAACAUAUGAGCUGGAUUUGGAUUUGAUCUGGAAAAGAAAAAAAAAACCCUCAGGCCUGAGCAGAGGGAGCUGGAUGGAGCAGGAGGAGGUGCAGGAGGUGGUGGUGGUGGGGGGGGUGUAACCGCCAAGCCCUGCAGAAAUGGCCUGAUGGGUGCUAAUGAACUUGGGAUGUGGCACCACAAUGCUGAGCGCCCCCUGGUCCACCUCGGUGCCCGGGUUCCCAUGCAGCCAUGGGAUAAGAGAGAGGGAUGAUGGGGGGAGGAGGAGGAGGAGGAGGAGGAGGAGGAGGGAGGCUGGAUGGUGCACCCAGCCUAUUGUGCCCGGUCCUUAGCCCAUUAGCCACCAACCAACCACUCCCGCUUUCCCAAGAGCAGCUCGAGGCCGGCCCGCCUGCCUGCCCGCCCGGACUCGGUAACCAGGCAUCGGCGCGGGCGCGGAGGAGGGGAGGAGAGAAACAGUAGCCGUAUUUAGAGUCUGAUCUCCAGGAAAGCGUCCAAAAUCUGGAGAGAAAGAGAGAGAGGAAAAAAAGGAGAGCCCGGGACAUUGGUAGGCAGAGAGAACCCCCCGACAACAAACCGGGGGCUGACAAAGUUGUCUCUUUGGCAGUCGCGCCUCCUAUUGAAGCCGUAAUUUAUUCAAAGGAGAUUUUUAUCCCCGCGAUCUGAUUAUUAUGAUAAUCAAGUGACCCAGACCCCCUUUCUUGGCUCUUGUCUGCGGGCUCUGGGCUCGGCGGUGACAGUAAAAGCUGAUUUGCACGGUCUUCACCCCCCCCGGUCACAUUCCUGGACUCCUCUGUAUCAAAGACGCGCACAAUGAGAAUAGUGGAUGUGCGCACUUGAUCCAGGCGCAUGAGCGGAGGCCGCAGUCUCCGCCGGGGGCUUUGUGUCAAACGAAUACUAGUAGCCAGACAAGAUUACACGAAACUUUUUUUAUAAUCCCACAUGGGCCAAAAAGAAAGAAAGAAAGAAACAAACAACGAGGCUCAAAAACGACUGUUGAUGAGUGAUGGAGCUGCAGCAGAGGACGCUGCGUGCGUGAAGGCGCCAAUUUAUGCGUAAUUAUGUUGAAUUAAUGAUGAAUCUGACCAUCAGACGUGAAGCUGUGUGUGUGUGUGUGUGUGUGUGUGUGUGUGUGUGUGUGUGUGUGUGUGUGUGUGUGUGUGUGUGUGUGUGUUAAUGUUUCUCAAAAUUCUCUUUGUCUCAAACAUGAACAACGUGACUUCAGAUGAGAGUUUCCAGCAGCAGAACUUGGAGCUCCAUCCUGCGCGUCUCCACCAGCAGCAGCGUCCUGCUUUCAUAUUUCAGAGGGUGGAGACAAAAAAAAAAAAAAAAAAGCAGACCUGCAUCGUGUCAUAAAGGGGAGGGCCUUCGUGGCGGUAUAUGUUUUUAGAGCAGGCAUGUUUUAAGUUCAUAUCGCAUCUGAAGCGAGGAAUGGCGAGCGCGAGGGACGGCUCGGGCAGGAGGAGGAGGAGGAGGAGGAGGAGGAGAGGAGGAGGAGGAGGAGGAGGAGGGGGGCGAGGAGGCGAGAUCCACCUCCGCGGGAAAUAAUGGGGAUGAUAAUAAAACAGGGGGAAAACCCGUCCGAGGGACGCUGAAUGGAUGGAGCCACGGAGACGUCACGGCCAGCCGCAGCCAUGAAGACUGAGCGGUCCAGCCUCCGGCAGCUCAGUUGGUCUCCAUCUGCCCAGCUGCUCGCUUCCUCUCGGCGGCGGAGAGAAGCGGACACGGCGGCGGCGACACGCAGACGACGGCGUCAGAGCUCGGCCCAUGUUACUUCGCCUGCGGCUUGAGAGGAUGGGUGGCCUUAGGGGUUGGUUGUUAUCUUUGGUUAUCUAGCUGUAUGAGUGAUGUACAUUCUUCAUAAAGCUAGAUAACCGAAAGUAACAAGAAUCCCAUUACGCUCCUGAAAAGGCAUCAAGACCCCAAACGCACGCCACGCUCCGAAAGAAACAAGUCUACCGCAAGAAGUGCAACAAGACAAGAACUGAAGAAAAAUGGACGAUUUGAAAAAAAAAAAAAAAGCAGGAGAUGCAGCAGAAGGCGACCAGCAGCACCACCACGCCGCUGAAGGAGAGCUGGCAAAGGGAGACUGAAAAACAGGGAAGAAGAAGAAGGAGGAGGAGGGGUUGCUGUUGAUUCUGCCCUCCCUCUCUCCUCGCCCUCCUCUGCAUCGCCUCUUCCCUCCUCCUCCUCCUCCUCCUCCUCCCUUCCUCCUCCGCUCCAUCCUCAGCCGACUGCCCCUUUUUCCUGUACAGCGAGACGCAGCCACCAUCUUAGAGUAAUGCUGGCAUGAAAUGGAAGUGGGAAGACCAGUCAGUGCAGGUUGUCGAUGCCGGGGAGGAGGAGGAGGAGGAGGAGGAGAUCCAGAGCGGCCGGAGCGUGCAGCGGACUGACGGCAGGAUUCGUCCUGCGGAGGCUGUUUGUCAGGACUAAACAUGGACGCCGCCACACGUGACUCAGUGGCGAUUCCUGCCAAGACUGUGGAGCGUCGCCGCACUUCUUCAGUGCUGCUGCGUCAUGCACGACACCGGCUGACAGUCGAGCUGGACUCAUUGUGAACGACGUCAGUGUUUCAUCAGAUCCUCAAACAUCACGGUGGACUGUCGGACACUCAGACAGAAGAUCAGCAGCUUGAGGUGUCGAAGAACUGGUCCUGAAUUGUGACUCUUGUUUUCAUAUUUUUAAGGGUUUGACACUCGAUCGUGUUUUUUUUUUUCUUCUUAUAUAUUUUCUAGGGCUGGGAGAUGUGGACUGUGCUGUAUACGUUACAUAUCUCUCCAGAAUAAGUUCUUCAUAUGUGCAACAAUAACUGUAGAGAUGACUGUUAGUUCUUUCACUAAAUAUUAAAACAAUGAACACAUAGAAGAAAAGUCUUAAAACAAAACUAUCAUGAUGCAACAAUAUGAAAUUAAUUUAUUUCCCAGCCCUAAUAUUUGUCUAUAAAACAAUAUAUCUUAGAGAUGAAGCGGUAUAAAGCGUCUUCGACUAACAUUAGGCCGUAUUUGACGAGUCGUAGCCCACGUUUAGUUUGGAUUUCCUGUUUCGUUAUAGUUGCUAGGACUCAAAGACGUGAGAAUGUGACGACCCACGGCAGCAGUGAAUAAUACUGCACUGCGAUUGGACAGCUCCAUGUGUCGGCUGACACAAUGGCGAAGGAGUGAGCUGUUGUCUUUAUACUCUAUGCAACUGUUUUGUCUUUGUUUUAUUCUGUUUUUUUUAUUAUUUUUAUUUUUAUUUUAAACCCGGCCUCUUUUCAUUCUUAGUCCUGAUUUUAUUUGUAUUAUUUUUUUGGGCUCCCAGUUUUCAGACGUUCCUCCAGACGUGAUGUGUUUUCUGGAGGGACGCUCGUCUCUCUCUCGCCUCCUGUUUGUUAAUAUACCGACACAGAUUACAGUCGGAGUGUGUGACAGAUGACAGAAUGCAGCUCAGUGUUCAGAUGUAUUGAGUCUCAUAUAUUUUUUUUUUCAGCCUUAACAGACUUUGAUUUGCAGCCACAGGAAAAAAAAACAAAAAAAAAAAACCUCAGCCUGAGUUAAAUGUGGAUUCUCAGGUUUUUAAUAUUCCCGAUGGCAGGAGUGUGUUUGAUCAGCGGGGAAGUGGCGAGGCGGCGGUGGAGCUUUUUCGCGGCUGCGUCUACACACAACACACGCCGCGGCUAUUAAAACCUUUUUUUUUUUUUUCCCAGCAGGCUUUGAGCCGUUUUGGUCGGUUGCAGUCACCUGCUCGGCUGUAAUGACACAUCUUUGGGUGAGACAUGACAAAUACAUUGGCUUCAAACACUGGCUUAAUUUCCUGUCCUUGACAUUAACACACACACACACACACACACACACACA